This 516-nucleotide long non-coding RNA is filed under the name Panicum hallii. RNAcentral describes it as "long non-coding RNA (PHAL_LNC000211)". Lineage: Eukaryota; Viridiplantae; Streptophyta; Magnoliopsida; Poales; Poaceae. The record is from RNAcentral.
AAUAGUGUCAGCCUUCUGUCAUCAUAUUCAAAUGUCAAAUGAAAGGUACCCUCAGCAGGAGUGGUAAAUACUUCAGCUCCUGGCUCAAAGUGGGGAGAGAGGUCAACCACCUUGCUGUUUGCUUGGCACCAUGUUCGAGCUUUUCUAAUAGCUAUUUUGAAGCUAUGUUGGGUUGCUCGCAAAUCAUCCUGGUUUAGUAUAACUCUAGCAGUAUUUCCAGGGUAGUUUUGAUCACGUGGCUCUUUCUUCUUUUUACAAUUGCUAAUGUAAGGUGUAUUGUGAAUUGAUCUCACAGUACUUGUCACCUGGAGGAAACUGAUAGAAACAUGAGUCACACAGACUAGUAAAAUAUAAAGAAAAGUGAAGAAUUCUUAAAAAUAAUUGGAUGACAUUGACGAAUUUGUUAGCGUGAUUCAUGCUUAGAACCUUAAAUAAAGAAAUGAUAAAUAAUGGAGAAAUCACAUUUGUGUGUUUCAGAAUAUCCAUAAACUCAUUAAUCAAUAGGUAUUUCAUUAA